GGGGCUGACUGGUUUUGACAGCGGGUAGAAGAGGCAAGUAAGCAUGCCGGGUUUUGAUUGUUGACCCGUAAAAAAUAACAGUCACAAUUUUAAUUGGCGAAAAUAAUUACGCUCUUGCUGCGUAACCGAAUCACAGUAGGUUAACGCUUAAUUCCGACGCAAGGCGUCGGAACAAGACAUCGCCCGGGUGCCCUCGCUUCGAGGCUACCCGAACCGGCGGUGCAGAAAAAAUCGAAGCUAACCGGAACGGAGUCCCGACGUUCUGGUGAAAUUAAAGGGAAUAAGGUCUCGGUUGGUGGCCCUAAUCCUGCCGAAACCCGAAAAUUAAGUUAGGGCUAAGCAUGUAGAAAGCUUGUUGCUUCCUCGUUUGGACGCGGGUUCGACUCCCGCCAGCUCCACCU
This 401-nucleotide transfer-messenger RNA is filed under the name Tangfeifania diversioriginum. Its description in RNAcentral is "Standard tmRNA". It matches the Rfam family "transfer-messenger RNA". From Rfam's summary of the family: Bacterial tmRNA, also known as 10Sa RNA or SsrA, is named for its dual tRNA and mRNA-like properties. Its role is to liberate the mRNA from a stalled ribosome. The record is from Rfam by way of RNAcentral. Lineage: Bacteria; Pseudomonadati; Bacteroidota; Bacteroidia; Marinilabiliales; Prolixibacteraceae.